UUUGUAUUAAUAAUUUUAUUGAUUCUUGUAUUCUCUGAUUAAUUAGGAAAGACUUAUUUAAUCUUGAAUAUCCUCCAAUUAAUUAGAGAAGUUUUUGUUUAAUCUUGAAAAAAUAUUUCACACUGCUGAAAUAGCUUCUUAGGAUAGUGCCUUGCACGACUCAAGUAUAAUUAAUAUAAUAUCAUUGUAAUAUUUAUUUAAUAUUCUAUAUCAUUAAUUUGUCAAUAAAAAAUUAUAUUACUGUUAUAAUUAUUAUAUCAGUUAUAAUAUUAUUAUUUUAACAUUAUUAUUAUUAUUAUUAUUAUUAUUAUGUCAUUGUACUGCUGAUAUUAUUAUUGUUAUAUUAUUAUCUUGUUAAUAAUUAAUUAAUAUUGUUAUUAUUAUUUUACCAUUGUUCCCAACAUGCCUAUACUUCAAGGUCUAUUCAAGAGGACCCCAACCGCACUCAUAACAAAACGAAGAGCUUAAGAGGGCUGUUUGGAGCUCCAGUUGAAAUAAUUCUAUAUUUGAAUGAUAGAUUAGAGCAAAAGAAAGACUAUGAUCAUGAUCAAGUGGGAUGAGCAGAUGUUUUUGUCUCAGUGUAUGAGAUUUUUCCCUCAGCAGUGACUCAUCUCAGUAGAAAUGAUUCUGUGGAGUCCGUACCCCCCUUUCCCCACCCCACAAUAUGAAAAUGUCUUUGUUAGUGAGCAUUUUACUCCCUCCCCUUAUUCAAUGUGGGACUUUUCAAAGUGAAUUCAAAUUUAAUUGAGUUUCAAUACGGUAUCAACCACCAGGUAGGAAACAGAAAAGGGGUGGGGGGGUGGAGGGUGGAGGGUGGAGGGGAGUUCACAAAUAACAAAUUAGACCCAUUAAUUAAAAGGAACGCAAUAAUUUCUUGCUAAUUACCCUAAAUAAUAACAUGUAUAUGUAUUUGAUGCGGAGACAACAUCAAAUACAUAAACCAAUAAAUUAAUUACCUUAUUGUUAAGUAAUAACUUGAGUUUGCCUAAAAUGAAUUAACUAAAGAUUAAAUAUCAUAUUUUAUAUUUUCACAUCUCUACCGCAUUGUAUUUUACAUUUUUCACUACUCUCUCUUUUUAUUUUUUAUUUUAUUUUCAUUUUAUAUUUUAUAUUUUAUAUUUUCAUAUCUUUCA
This 1133-nucleotide long non-coding RNA is filed under the name Capsicum annuum. Its description in RNAcentral is "long non-coding RNA (CANN_LNC016012)". The record is from RNAcentral. Lineage: Eukaryota; Viridiplantae; Streptophyta; Magnoliopsida; Solanales; Solanaceae.